RNAcentral lists this unclassified non-coding RNA (191 nucleotides) under uncultured fungus. Its description in RNAcentral is "sequence contains ITS1". Lineage: Eukaryota; Fungi. The record is from RNAcentral.
UUGAUUUUUAAAGGAUGUGCUGGCUCCUCCUCCGGGGGGGCAUGUGCACUCUUAACAAAAACCAAUAUCCACCUGUGCACCUUUAGUAGGCAGGAAAAGAUCCCUUACCCAAGGCCUUUUUUUGUCUAUGUUUUUCUAUCACAAACACUAGAUCUAUUUGAAUGCUAAUAUAACAAAUAAUAUUUGUAACA